GUCCAGCAUGGCCUCUUGUUCCUCCCAAUGCCUGCCCAGCAAGGAGCAGAGACCCGGAGGCAGAGGGGGACGGGCAAGUCCACCAGACGAGCGUGGGCUUCUCCUGGGUGCCAUGGCGUUCUGAGGACUGAGGUGCGACUUCUACACCAAAACCCCACCACCUGAAGUGGACAGUUCAAUGAGCUUUGACAGACGCACGGAGCCACCAAAGCACACCACGGUCAGGCCGGAGAAAGCCACACUGAAGCAAGGGACAUGUUGGUGGUAACGUUUUGUAGAACAGUUGAUGGCUCUGGAAAUCCUGCGCGGGACAUUCCAUGAGACAUCUAGGAUGACUUUUGGCCACAUAUCUGGAUGCAUGGGACAGUCGAAUUGACGCAUGGAACCAACUGUCACGCUGCCACAUGACGGUCGUGCUCUUGACAGGCACCCAGCAGGUGGAUGCUGAGAGGUGACCUUGGUGACUACCUUGGCAGAGACCCAGGCCUUGUGAGCCCACCUGUCUUCCACAGGGCCCAUCCUCCUUUCCUGCCACAAGCCAUCCUCACCGCGUCCAAUCUACCCAGAAAUAACGCUGCGGCAGCCUCCAAGACACAGGGUGGCUUUGACCUGCUGUGUGCUGAGCACCAUCCAGGCUGGUGGGGUGUCACCCUCUCACCACGGCUUGCCCCCCAGGGUUUCUGGACAUGGUUCUUUUUCUGAUCAUUCUUUCAGAGGCUGACAGCUGGAUCUCUCUCUUCCCCCCUCCCCCGUCCCCAACCUCCCACACAGAAUGUCCCUUCAUUAGAUGUCCAUUCUCAGGGACAAUUCUGUCUUCUCUAAGGAGCUCAGUUUCAAAUACAUGAAGUGCUCAGAAAGCUGAGUCUGUCAGUUGCUGGACAAGCAGUGGUGACCACAGCCUUUGCCACAGGAUGCCAAUGGGUGAGGACGGUGGCACUGGCUAGCACAUGACCCACCCCAAGGGGGAGCCUGCCAUGCAUCACUGGGGUCCCUUCUUCUCAUGCUUCAAAAAAAGCCAGAAAAUCAUUUUGUUUUCUGAAAAGUCUGAAAUCUUUCAUUUAAAAACGUGGAUAAGCCAAGCACAGUGGUGUGUGUCUGUGAGCCAGAUAGUUGGAAAGCUGAGGCAGGAGGAUUGCAAGUUUGAGGCCAUCCUGGGAAGCUUAGUGAGACCCUGUCUCCCAAAACAAAAACAAAACAAAACAAAACAAAAAAUAGGGAUGUAGCUCAAGGUUCAAUUCCAGUACUGAGGGGGAAAAAAUGAAGAGAAAACCAAAUUUAAAAUACUCUAAGGGCAAAAUAUAACAUUAUGGGAAAAAUAUAAUAUGUCUGCCUGAGCUGAUCCCUUGGCUGUCAGUCUUAGACUUCUACUUAGAAUCACUUGUAAUCACGCUUGUAAAAAGAUCAUGUGUGUGUGUGUGUGUGUGUGUGUGCACGCACACACGUGCACUUGAGGGGGUAAUGAAAUCUUUUCCUUCUUUACAGACAGAAUGUCCUUUUCUAUACAAUUGUAUUAAUCAACAUUACCCCUUUACAUGAUAUGACCCCAGCCAUUUUCCUUAUUUUAGGGCAUUUAGAUGCUUUUGAGGUUUCUAUUGCCAUCAAUAGUGCUGUGGGAAUUUCAAAGUGGGUGCUUUGUGUCAUCCACUCUUUUCCAGGAGUCUGUCACAGAACUGGACCGUGAAGAUCUGUUUCUAACUCUCUCUGCUCCUAUAAACUGACCUCUCCAAGAACAAAAAGGGUUGCCCAUGGCCCAGCCAUCAGAGGAGGCACUCAGUGAAUGUUGGUGGAAUGAAGGAAUGUGGUCAAAGAAAAGGAAAAUUAGCUGUACAGGGAAAAAAGAAAAACUUCAAUUGAAUUUGUAAAGCUGAGUCACUGUAAUGAAGGCAGAUUUUGCUGCGAAGCUAUAGACUCUUUCUCUGCUAAUGACAUUGCUCCAUGCAAUCACUUCUUUGCAUCCAAGAAUCUACCUACCCAUCAUUACACUUAGGUUUUAUAUUAUGGAGCACAAGUGAUGCAAUUCAAUUUCCCUGGAGUAAUCAUUAUGAUUGAGUUCAUAAACCUGGGGUUUGCCUUCAUUUUUCAACUAAAAUUAAAACCCAUUCUAAUCCUCAAGUGAUAGAUGGUGUCUUAGUUUGCUCUCGGUUGUUACAAGGAAAUACCUGAGGCCAGGUAAUUUAUAAAGUAUGGAAGUUUAUUUGGCUCACAGUUCUGGAGGCUGGAAAUCCAAGAGCAUGGAUCAGACAUCUGCUCGGCAUCUGGUGGGGACUUCAGUCCACAUUCCCACAUGGCAGAGCGCAGUGUGUAGGAGACAGAGUAGGUAUGCUAGCUCAGGUCUUCUGAUCUUAAAGGCCACUAACAUCCCACCCUUAUGAACUCAUCUAAUCCAUAUGACCUCCUCAGGGCUCACCUCCAUACACCAUUAACGUGUGAAUUUGGGGAUUAAGUUCCUGACAAAUGAACUUUUGGGGAACUCAUACAGCAGGCAGACAGGAAGCCCAAGCUAUAGAAGAUGGACAGGAAGUCCGAGCCUUGAGUGGUCCAAGGUCAGGGUUUCUAGGAUCUGGAGCGAAAGUCAGCCAACCUGCCCCGUACCUUGCCCUGGCUGGGUGAGUGGCACCUCCUUAAAGUUCUGACCCUGGGCAAUGCCCUUCUUCACAGAGGAACAAAGAAUGCAUGCCAGGUUGAAGCCCUUGCUUGUCAAAGGAGGGAAGCACUCUCCAGGGACUCCCAGCUGGAUUUUGUCAUCCAUGUGUAGUUUUCUUGGUGCUUUCUGACCAUUUGGGCCUUGUGUGCUUGCAAUUGGUGGUUUGCGCUGUCUCCAUCGAGGCCUCUCUGAUGUGAGGGAAGGAAGAACAUUGCUCUCCCCUCUAGGGAAAGGGGGAACCCCAACACCGGGAGCCUGGUGCGGCAUUUUCUCCAUUUCCACUGACCUGCUGGUAAGUGCGGGGCUGCUUCGGGAGUGGUGAAAAUGUCCUGGGGUUGUGUGGUGGUGGCGGUUGUGCAAUCUUGUGAAUAUAGUAAAAAAACGAACAAACAAAAAAACCCAACAUUGAAUUAUACACUUAAAAGGGUGAAUUUUAUGGUAUUUGAAUUAAAUUUCAGUUAAUUUUAAUGAAACUGAGAACAACAGACUUCUCAUUACUUCCCUCACCCUCUGCUGUCUGCUCUGCUGGUCCUGGGACCUGGAUUCUGUCACUGCUGAGGGGCCUCUCCCUGGGGCUGGACCCUGGCUGAGGCUCACCCCAGGAGCUGGCCAGGGGCCUGGCACAGGGAGCCCCUGGGAGUCCCUGGGCACGAAUGGCUGGAGGACCUGGGUAGGAAGGACGGCAGGGUGGGACCAGUGGCAGAGACCUGGGCCACCAGCAACCGGAAGUGGGAAUGUCAUCCUUCCUAACUGCAGGGGAGAAAACCAGGUGCAGAUUCAAAGGAAGAAGGGUGAGGUUUCUGUAUUCUGAUUUGGGUAGCUGGAAGAGAUCAUUCAAACAAUUUUAAGUGAAAGAACAGAAGUGUUUCACUUUAUAGUUGGGAUUCUGCUACAUCUACAUUUGAUUGUUUGUAAUCUUAGUUCAGAAUGAUCUUAGUUUUGUUAUCACUUUGACUGAGGAUCCCCCCUCCCACCCCAGUCUCCUGGGAUCAGAUGCGCAGUGGUCCACA
Long non-coding RNA from Marmota monax (woodchuck), 3654 nucleotides. RefSeq lists it as uncharacterized. The transcript has 5 exons. The record is from RefSeq and is a predicted model, not a curated record. NCBI's taxonomy places the organism in Eukaryota, Metazoa, Chordata, Mammalia, Rodentia, Sciuridae.